Molecule: ribosomal RNA, 387 nt
Filed under: uncultured Lactobacillus sp.
Lineage: Bacteria; Bacillati; Bacillota; Bacilli; Lactobacillales; Lactobacillaceae
Description: bacterial SSU rRNA
Rfam family: Bacterial small subunit ribosomal RNA
Source: RNAcentral
CAGAUGCUAAUACCGGAUACAAACAGAUGAUGCCUAUCAACUGUUUUAAAAAGUAUGGUUCUUGCUAUCACUCUUGGGAUGGGACCUGCGGUGCAUUAGCUAGUUGGUAGGGUAACGGCCGUACCAAGGCGAUGAUGCAUAGCCGAGUUGAGAGACUGAUCGGCCACAUUGGGACUGAGACACGGCCCAAACUCCUACGGGAGGCAGCAGUAGGGAAUCUUCCACAAUGGACGCAAGUCUGAUGGAGCAACGCCGCGUGAGUGAAGAAGGGUUUCGGCUCGUAAAGCUCUGUUGUUGGUGAAGAAGGACAGGGGUAGUAACUGACCUUUGUUUGACGGUAAUCAAUUAGAAAGUCACGGCUAACUACGUGCCAGCAGCCGCGGUAAU